AUGCCCUGAGCAAUAGAAUGAAUGCAGACCCAGCUUUCUAGAUAUUGCAAUGUCACUAUUCCUGGAUGUUGCUGCCGGACACCUGGGACCACACUGACUCCUCCAAGGAAGCUGAGGCUCAGAAAGUAAAAUAUAUUUCACCAGGGGAAGGAGUGAAUCCGAUUCAGAGCUACUUCCAGAAGCUCGAACAGUGCCUCAUCUAUUGAGGGUGCUGAACACAGAUUGGUUGAAUAAACGAACGAACACAUGAA
Molecule: long non-coding RNA, 251 nt
Organism: Hyaena hyaena (striped hyena)
Lineage: Eukaryota; Metazoa; Chordata; Mammalia; Carnivora; Hyaenidae
Exons: 2
Source: RefSeq, a predicted model, not a curated record